GAUGAACGCUAGCGGCAGGCCUAAUACAUGCAAGUCGAACGGGUGGUCGCAAGACCACUAGUGUCGCACGGGUGCGUAACGCGUAACCAACCUGCCCCGAUCUGGGGUAUAGCCCGCCGAAAGGCGGAUUAAUACCGCAUAUACCCGCAGCCUGGCAUCAGGCAACGGGGAAAGAUUUAUUGGAUCGGGAUGGGGUUGCGUGACAUUAGCUAGUUGGCGGGGUAAGGGACCACCAAGGCGACGAUGUCUAGGGGACCUGAGAGGGUGAUCCCCCACACUGGAACUGAGAUACGGGCCAGACUCCUACGGGAGGCAGCAGUAGGGAAGAUUGGGCAAUGAGCGAGAGCCUGACCCAGCCAUGCCGCGUGCCGGAUGAAGGCCUUCUGGGUUGUAAAUGGCUUUUCUCAGGGAAGAAAAAGACCUAGCGAGGUACACUGACGGUACCUGAGGAAUAAGCACCGGCUAACUCCGUG
Molecule: ribosomal RNA, 473 nt
Filed under: uncultured bacterium
Lineage: Bacteria
Description: partial 16S ribosomal RNA
Rfam family: Bacterial small subunit ribosomal RNA
Source: RNAcentral